Molecule: ribosomal RNA, 781 nt
Filed under: Lagenidium giganteum f. caninum
Lineage: Eukaryota; Oomycota; Peronosporomycetes; Pythiales; Pythiaceae
Description: eukaryotic LSU rRNA
Rfam family: Eukaryotic large subunit ribosomal RNA
Source: RNAcentral
GCAUAUCAAUAAGCGGAGGAAAAGAAACUAACAAGGAUUCCCCUAGUAACGGCGAGUGAAGCGGGAUGAGCUCAAGCUUAAAAUCUCCAUAGGAGUUUCCUGUGGCGAAUUGUAGUCUAUAGAGGCGCUGUCAGUGCGGCUGUUUGGGAUAAGUCUCUUGGAAAAGAGCAGCAUGGAGGGUGAUACUCCCGUUCUUGCCUGAGCAGCUUGCGCGUACGACACGUUUUCUUUGAGUCGCGUUGUUUGGGAAUGCAGCGCAAAGUGGGUGGUAAAUUCCAUCUAAAGCUAAAUAUUGGUGCGAGACCGAUAGCGAACAAGUACCGUGAGGGAAAGAUGAAAAGAACUUUGAAAAGAGAGUUAAAGAGUACCUGAAACUGCUGAAAGGGAACCGAAUCGUUUCCAGUGUCUAUAAUCCGUAGCAUAUUUCAUUGGCGAGUGGAUGCGUGCAGUGUUUUGACAGCGGCUUGCUGCGUCAUGCAUUGUUCUGCGUUUACUUGCUGGUGCCCUGUGUUGCGGUGGGACGUCAGAGUCAGUUCGUAUGCUGCGGGAAAUGGUCAUCGAGGAGGUAGGUGCUUGCACUGUUAUAUCUCGGUUGACUAGUCGUCGUGGUUGGGACUGAGGUGCCUACAAUGUGCUUUAACGUCUUGCGGAUGCUUAUCUGAUCAACUGCUCUGAUAGCUUGCUAUGUUUGCGGUCUGGUUGGGUGAUUGUGUUUGUAAGUAACGUUUGCCGUUCGGGACUUUGACGAAAUGGAGCGAUCCGACCCGUCUUGAAACACGGA